This 592-nucleotide small RNA is filed under the name Pan troglodytes (chimpanzee). RNAcentral describes it as "processed transcript". The record is from RNAcentral. Lineage: Eukaryota; Metazoa; Chordata; Mammalia; Primates; Hominidae.
AAGCUUUCCCUGCAAUAUUAUCUCAGCAGCUCCCUAGCUGCUUACCCUGAAAACGAGGGCUCCAAACGGAGGGUGUUGCCCUCUGCUAACGCUGGUCCUGUGCGUGGCUGUGGCAUAUGAGCGGCAGGUCUGAAAAAGCAGGUGUGUGCUGGGACGGGCACUGGACUGGAACGCAGGCGGACGCUCUCGGGUUUACCUGCUUCCUGUUAACAGACUGUGGGCUCCCAGGGCGUAUGUCUGCACGCUGAGGCCGAGGCGGAGAAGGGGCUUCCUGAGCGUCCAGUACACUGACAGAGACACUUGGAUUGGACUUAAUCUUAAACCUCUGGAGUUCAAGACCUUUUAAAAGGGCUAAAUAAACAAUCUCUACAUGUAAAAGGCCACUGACUCCUACUUCCUCUGUAUAGAGCAACUGUUGAACUCAGCUGCCUGUAGGGCGUGAUUCUCAGUCACCAGACUCAGCAAAAGGUUUUAGAAACGUUCGACCAAACCUACAAGAUAAAAGAUCACCAACUCAGGCACCCCCUCCACCAGAAAGAAAAGAGAGCUUUCAUAGCUCUUUGAUAACCAGUCACACAAAGGGUGUCAUUUU